AUAAAGCAAUGCUGAACGCACAGAAGUCAGCAGAGGUCAUAGUAGCCGAGAGGUGAA
This 57-nucleotide non-coding RNA is filed under the name uncultured Blautia sp. The record is from RNAcentral. Lineage: Bacteria; Bacillati; Bacillota; Clostridia; Lachnospirales; Lachnospiraceae.